GAUGAAGAACGUAGCGAAAUGCGAUAAGUAAUGUGAAUUGCAGAAUUCAGUGAAUCAUCGAAUCUUUGAACGCACAUUGCGCCCGCCAGUAUUCUGGCGGGCAUGCCUGUUCGAGCGUCAUUACAACCCUCAGGCCCCCGGGCCUGGCGUUGGGGAUCGGCGGAGCCCCCCGUGGGCACACGCCGUCCCCCAAAUGCAGUGGCGGUCCCGCCGCAGCUUCCAUCGCGUAGUAGCUAACACCUCGCGACUGGAGAGCGGCGCGGCCACGCCGUAAAACACCCAACUCUUCUGAAGUUGACCUCGAAUCAGGUAGGAAUACCCGCUGAACUUAAGCAUAUCAUAAGCGGAGGA
This 351-nucleotide unclassified non-coding RNA is filed under the name soil metagenome. RNAcentral describes it as "partial contains 5.8S ribosomal RNA, internal transcribed spacer 2, and large subunit ribosomal RNA". The stretch from base 1 to 120 matches the Rfam family "5.8S ribosomal RNA", at positions 35 to 154 of the family's 154-position model. The record is from RNAcentral.